RNAcentral lists this ribosomal RNA (468 nucleotides) under uncultured bacterium. RNAcentral's name for it is "partial 16S ribosomal RNA". It matches the Rfam family "Bacterial small subunit ribosomal RNA", at positions 28 to 507 of the family's 1533-position model. The record is from RNAcentral.
GACGAACGCUGGCGGCGUGCCUAACACAUGCAAGUCGAACGGAAAGGCCCUGCUUUUGUGGGGUGCUCGAGUGGCGAACGGGUGAGUAACACGCGAGUAACCUUCCCUUGACUUUGGGAUAAUUUCAGGAAACUGUAGUUAAUACCGGAUAGGAGCUCCUGCUGCAUUGUGGGGGUUGGAAACUUUCGGCGGUUGGGGAUGGACUCGCGGCUUAUGAGCUUGUUGGUGGGGUAGUGGCUUACCAAGGCUUUGACGGGUAGCCGGCCUGAGAGGGUGACCGGCCAACGUAGGAGAGAGCUACGGCACAGAGUAGUGCGGGAGACAGCAGUGGGGAAUAUUGCACGAUGGACGGAAGCCGGAUGCAGCAAGGCGGCGUGCGGGAUGAUGGCCUUCUGGUGUAAAACCGCUUUCGCAGGUGAGGAAGCGUGGGUGACGGUAAUAGAUAAAGAAGCACCGGCUAACUACGUG